This 591-nucleotide ribosomal RNA is filed under the name uncultured Dechloromonas sp. RNAcentral's name for it is "bacterial SSU rRNA". It matches the Rfam family "Bacterial small subunit ribosomal RNA", at positions 934 to 1524 of the family's 1533-position model. Lineage: Bacteria; Pseudomonadati; Pseudomonadota; Betaproteobacteria; Rhodocyclales; Azonexaceae. The record is from RNAcentral.
GGAUGAUGUGGAUUAAUUCGAUGCAACGCGAAAAACCUUACCUACCCUUGACAUGUCCAGGAGCUCGAAGAGAUUUGAGUGUGCCCGAAAGGGAGCUGGAACACAGGUGCUGCAUGGCUGUCGUCAGCUCGUGUCGUGAGAUGUUGGGUUAAGUCCCGCAACGAGCGCAACCCUUGUCGUUAAUUGCCAUCAUUUAGUUGGGCACUUUAACGAGACUGCCGGUGACAAACCGGAGGAAGGUGGGGAUGACGUCAAGUCCUCAUGGCCCUUAUGGGUAGGGCUUCACACGUCAUACAAUGGUCGGUACAGAGGGUUGCCAAGCCGCGAGGUGGAGCCAAUCCCAGAAAGCCGAUCGUAGUCCGGAUCGUAGGCUGCAACUCGCCUGCGUGAAGUCGGAAUCGCUAGUAAUCGCGGAUCAGCAUGUCGCGGUGAAUACGUUCCCGGGUCUUGUACACACCGCCCGUCACACCAUGGGAGCGGGUUCCGCCAGAAGUAGGUAGCCUAACCGCAAGGGGGGCGCUUACCACGGCGGGGUUCGUGACUGGGGUGAAGUCGUAACAAGGUAGCCGUAGGGGAACCUGCGGCUGGAUC